This is a long non-coding RNA of Mus musculus (house mouse), 5183 nucleotides long. RefSeq annotates it as predicted gene, 52062. The record is from RefSeq and is a predicted model, not a curated record. The transcript has 3 exons. NCBI's taxonomy places the organism in Eukaryota, Metazoa, Chordata, Mammalia, Rodentia, Muridae.
UUUGUUUGUUUUAAACAUUUAGGUCAUUUGCUGGACUGGGGGUUUUCCCAGUGGUUAGUAUACUUGUUUGCUGCACAAUAUCUUAGGUUUGAUUUCCAGGAUUCCCAAAGGGAAAAUAAUUUAUUAAGGUCCUUUUUUCUGUCUUUUCUCCUUGCUGUACAGGAUGUCUCUCUCCCCUUGUCUUAACACACCAUUAUGUAAGUUUCUCAGCCAGGUGGACACAGUCAUGGUCCCAGAACCAAUCACCUUUCAGAAGAGGGCUGGGGAGGCAGUCUCAGGAGGCUUGAGUCAUCUUAGCUAUAAUUUUGCUGUCCGUUUUGGUGUUGGUGUUCAUAGUUUAUGCUAUAGCUACACACAUAUACACAAAAAUCAUAAGUGCUGGAGAGAUGGCUCAGCAGUUAGAAGUCUUGUCUUCCAGAGACAAGAGUUGGGUUCCCAGCACCCAACACCAGGCAGCACACAGCUACCUGCUGCUCCAGGUCCAGAGGAUCCAACACCUCUGAUCUCCAAGUACACGUGCACUCAUGUAUACAUAUCCACACAAUUAAAAAUAAAUCUCUUAAAAACUCACACAUGCAUAUAUUUAUAAUGCCAGUAAGAUGUUGAGAUAUAAAAGCACAUUUAUUUAUAUAUUUCAUAUUCUGGCUUAACGGUCAUUGUAAUAAUACAGGGCAGGUGUUAUUCUCAUUUUAUGCAUGUGAAAAUAAACAUAUGGAGAUGUGGCAGCUGAGGCUACAGAGAUCGGAAUGGUGCCUGACUGUCUCCCAAGCAAGCAACUUUUCCUCUCAAUGCUGUUAUUUCGCUGUCUGCCACAGAGACAGUUAUUUAACUCCUAGAUCAUUAUCUCAGAACUCGUGAUGAUGGGGAAAUGAUUUCAGGGCUAUUAUGGGAAUUAAAUGAGAGAUGCUUAGCUACCGCUGCCAUGCCUGCAAGCAGGAGGUACUCAGUCCACACCUCUAACCUGUGCUGCAACCACAGUGCUUCUCCUGCUCCAGAGGAGGCAGAGCCUGGGUUCUGAGGGUGGUGGACUCAGGGAGCUACCAUUCCUUCCAGCUGGGUUUGUACCUGAGGAUAUGGGUGACAACUAUGGCCACUGUAGCAGAAGCCAUCACUUCCACUCUUGAGUGCUAGGUCCUACAAGCCUUAGCAUUCAGCCUGUAUCUUACUAAGAGUAGUCAAUCUUCCUGAGACCCCCUCAGUAUAAGUCCAGAUGCAAAUAACAUCACUGCUCUUCAAGAGGACUCCAGGUGAGUCCCUUCCCAUUGCCUAGAACAGAGAGUACUGCCUGUACUAUGCUGACCCCCUCACCCACCUUCCUUCAGACAUGGCUUCUGUUUUAUCUCCAUGGCAACCUCUCUUAAGAUUCUGGAACACAAUAUCUCCACACGUAUUCCCUCCUGCUCUCCCUUCGCUCCAUAAGAAAUAGCUGUUGCAUCAGUAAGUUCCUGACCAUCUUGACCAUAAAGACAGAGAACUUUCAGAUAGCAUCAUGUGCCCUCUGCAGCCCAUUCCCCCUACCGCCACCAGACGCUAGGCACUGCAUGGGAACAGAAGAUAUAGACAGGAAAUGCCCAAGGAACCGUUCUCUGGAUAAGAAUCUGCCUACCGUUGAGUUUUCAAUAGAGGAGAAACAGUAAUGCCCUUUGGGUCUGGAUCUUUCUGUUUGAUACCAGGUAAAGCUGGGACACAGCGUUCUGUAUGUUUACUCUGUGCUGUUCCUUGUACUGCCUCACAGUACAGGCAAUCAUUAAGGUACAUGAAGACCAGGAACAAGCCUUGUCCUGACGCCAUAACCUCUCGGUGGAUCCGCACAUGAACUCACUUGGCUAAAGCAAGAAUUCCAAAAAGGCAGGUGUGCGAUUGCGCUAUGUCCUGCUUCAUUAGGAUUCCGAAGUCUUCCAGCUGCACGUGGGAUUACCUGUGGUUACUCUGGCAGGAUUUCUCUUCACCUUUGAGAACUUCUUAGAUGCAGGUUUGUAAUAUUGGGUAGUAAAUAAUUUUAUAAAGAUAUUCCAGAAAGUCAUCUCCUUUGAGUGCCCUUAGAACUACAUUUCCUUGGGGCUGGAGAGGUGGCUCUGGGCUUAGGAGCCUUUGCUGUUCUUCCAGAGGGCUGGGGUUUUGUUUCCAGCAUUCAUAUGGGGGCUAACAACCACCUAAAAUACCAGUUCCAGGGGAGCUAUUGUCUUUUGAUCUCUGUGAACACCAGAUAUGCCAUGUGGUAUAUGCACAUACACACAGGAAAACAUUUAGAAAUAAAUAAAAUCUAAAUUAUAAAAAAGAAAUCCUAUUUUUUCUGGAGUUUUUUUUUUUUUCCAAACCCACCAAAAUUGUCUUUUUUGCAUUCUGCAUUUAAUAAAACUCCCAGUCUUAAUGUUGUCAGAACACACCACAUGGAAGGCCUGUGACAAACUUGGAAGCAAAUGACUGCAGUGCAAACACAACUGAAGUCUCUGAGGAGGGGGCCGCUGACCUACACACCAAAGCAUCUACCAAGGCCCUGAACUGGCCACUAUGAUUGUAACUGCCUCAGCACUGAGGUAGUGACCUUCAAGACUGGAAUGAGCCUGGAGACAUUUGAUACUUUACUUUGAGAUUUUAAAGUUUAUGAACAGCCCACGGUCACACCAUUGACUACACAACUUUCACUGGACUACACCACUGGACUUUCACAACCACUGGACUACAACCUUUCCAGAGAUGAAAAUUUCAGAAGACCAAAGCUACCAAACAAGGCAGCACCCUUACCAAUUUUAGCUGGUGCUGAUGGUAGAAACCACCCGAUAUUUUUAAAUGGAAAUGAAAAUAUAGCCGAUUUGGUAAAAUCUGUGGUCAGAAAGUUAGGUCAUUGGAUAUCAAAUAGUUAUUUAUAGAGAAUUUUAUUAAACACACAAAAGAGAAGGUUGGUUAAGUUAUAAACAUUUCUAUCUACAGGACCAUUUCUCCUCUUGAAGUUUGUGGAGCUCAGAUGGCUCGUUGGCAGUAUUAAUUUCUUCCUGAAAUUCAUUUCUUCCAAGGAUAAUGAAAAUCUCAACCUUCACAUGUAGAAGGAAGAAAGCCCCGAGGCUGGGCUUCGUAUAUCACCACCCAUAUAUUCACGCUUUCUUUUUCAAAUGUAGAAUUCACUUGGCAAGAGAAAUAAUUCCAGAAAGGAAGGCUUGAGAUUGUGAUAUGUCCUGAAGCCUUCCAGCUUCAGAAUACUAAUCAGGUAACAAAUGAACAUAAGCAUGCACCCUAAAUUUGUAAGACAUCGACAUAAAGACAAGAGCAGUGGCUCUCAUGCAUUUUGUGGGGGAGCUAAAUUCUCAAGCUCAGAUGUUCUGUUGGACACUGACAUGGAAAUCUGCAUUGGUAUCCUUCGUCCCUGCAGGACAAGCCUCUCCUGGGAGCGAACUUCUCAGUCAGUCCUGCAGGUGUGUAUUUGUUUGAGUGUCCAAAGCAGUAAGGAACACCCCCAACCCAUCUAGGCAGUGACAUAGAAGGCAACUUCCAGACUGCUCUGCUUGGCAGACAAUCCAAUUUUAAACUCAGUAGAAGUUCAUGUGAUCUGUUAAAUGGGUCCAGUGGUCUUUUAUGUAUUAAGAGUUUGGGGGAAAUAUGGGCUAUGUAUAUUAAUAUACAUAGAAUAUACAUAGAAUAAAUAUCAGAUAGAAUUGCUUACUGCCUCUUCUGAUAUUCAGAUAAAGAUAACUUUGACUAGAGGGAGGGGAAGUCUAAUGAUGGAUGGAUCUAAAUUCACACCUGGUCAUUUUUAACUACCUGAGUUUUCUGGUUUUGUUUUGUUUUGUUUUGUUUUGUUUUGUUUACAGUCUGUUCCAGUUAGCUUUAACUCUCAAGUUGAAUCAGCCUAGUGUUACCUAAGAAGGGACUCUCAUUUGAAGGAAUGCCCAGAUCACAUUGUACUGUGAGCCUGACUACCGGAGACUCUCAUGAUUACUAUGGAUAUAGGAGGGUUCAGCCCCUGUCAGGUGGUCCUGUUUCAGAAAGCGAGCUAAGCUUUCUAAGUACAAGCCUGCAAUUGAGCUAGCAAGCAGAACUUCUCCAUGCCUCUACUUCUAGUGUUGGCUAGCUAGUCAGUUUGACACACAAACAAUUAGAGUUAUCUGAAAAGAGGGAACCUCAAUUGAGAAAAUGUCCCUAAGACCCAGCUGUAAGACAUUUUCUUAAUUAGCAAUUUAGGGAGGAGGUUCCAGCCCAUUGCGGGUGGCGCCAUCCCUAGGCUGAUGGUCCUGGGUUCCAUAAGAAAGCAGGCUGAGCAAGCCAGACGAAGCAAGCCAGUAAGCAGUACCCCUCCACAGCCUUUGCAUCAGCUCCUGCCUUCAGGUUCCUGCCCUGCUUGAGUUCUUGUCUUGAUCCUGACUUCCUUCAAUGAACAGCAAUAUGGAAGUAUAAGUCAAAUAAACAGUUUCCCACCCAGCUUGCUUUUUGGUCAUGGUGUUCUGGUGCAGCAAUAAAAAUCCUGACAAGGUAGAUCCCCACUUCGACUCCCCUUGGUGAUGGACUCUGACCUGUAAGGAUGAGUCAGAUAUAUCCUUUCCUCCUAGAAGUUGCAUUUGGUCAAAGCGUUUUACCACUGAGCAGAAAAGAAACUAGAACACAAGUCACCCAACUGAAUAGGGUGUAGAGGAAUUGAGCUAUGUGACCGCCACACAGGCUCAGGAGCAUAGACCCAAACUUGCUAUCAUGCCACUUCAUUUUGCCCCCUAGUAGUCUCAUUCAGUUGCAGUAAAGCUAUAUAAGCUGGGGGAGGGCAGAGAGAAAAAAAGAAACAGAAAAAAGAGAGAGAGAGAAAGACCCUAUAAACUAAAGCCUGUGAAUGAAUAAAAAACAGAACUGUUAGUAAUACCAUAUCUUGUAAAAUUUCACUGGGACACAAUCACACAACCAAGAGCAAGGGACCACUUUCAUUACAUUGUAAUCUUUUGCUAAAUAACGGUGUCAUUUCUACCUACGAGGGACAGAUCCAAAAUGACACACACCACAGGAAGUCGGGAAAGAAGCAGUUUCUAGACACUUUGACAGGUUGUGUAUGGACCAGCAACAAUACCCAGUGAGGAAGACUCAUUGGGAAACCGUGGGAUAUCACGUCACAAUGACAAGAAGCGUUGAUGGACUUCUCAUUACAUAAGGCAGAUUUGUAAGUUAUGAGAGGGGGGAGCUUUGCAGAUUGUGGCAAAGAGAGCGUA